This 450-nucleotide ribosomal RNA is filed under the name uncultured bacterium. Its description in RNAcentral is "bacterial SSU rRNA". It matches the Rfam family "Bacterial small subunit ribosomal RNA", at positions 354 to 796 of the family's 1533-position model. The record is from RNAcentral.
GUGGGGAAUAUUCCGCAAUGGACGAAAGUCUGACGGAGCAACGCCGCGUGAGUGAUGAAGGUUUUCGGACUGUAAAGCUCUGUUGUUUAGGACGAAAGUGCCUGUUGCAAAUAGUUACAGGUAUUGACGGUACUGAACGAGGAAGCCACGGCUAACUACGUGCCAGCAGCCGCGGUAAUACGUAGGUGGCAAGCGUUGUCCGGAAUUAUUGGGCGUAAAGAGCAUGUAGGCGGGAAUCUAAGUCUGUUGUGAAAAUGCGGGGCUCAACCCCGUAUUGCGAUGGAAACUGGGUUUCUUGAGUGCAGGAGAGGAAAGGGGAAUUCCCAGUGUAGCGGUGAAAUGCGUAGAUAUUGGGAGGAACACCAGUGGCGAAGGCGCCUUUCUGGACUGUGUCUGACGCUGAGAUGCGAAAGCCAGGGUAGCGAACGGGAUUAGAUACCCGAGUAGUCC